Small nucleolar RNA from Cyprinus carpio carpio, 72 nucleotides. Its record names the gene SNORD24. It matches the Rfam family "Small nucleolar RNA SNORD24". From Rfam's summary of the family: U24 is a member of the C/D class of snoRNA which contain the C (UGAUGA) and D (CUGA) box motifs. C/D box snoRNAs have been shown to act as methylation guides for a number of RNA targets. U24 is encoded within an intron of the gene for ribosomal protein L7a in mammals, chicken and Fugu. The record is from Ensembl. Lineage: Eukaryota; Metazoa; Chordata; Actinopteri; Cypriniformes; Cyprinidae.
UGCAGAUGAUGUUAAAAAUAUUUGCUAUCUUAACAGCAUUGCAGACAUUCUACCAUCAAGAUCGCUGAUGCA